This 825-nucleotide long non-coding RNA is filed under the name Vulpes vulpes (red fox). RNAcentral's name for it is "lncRNA (ENSVVUG00000007998.1)". The record is from RNAcentral. Lineage: Eukaryota; Metazoa; Chordata; Mammalia; Carnivora; Canidae.
GCAAGCACGCGAGGCUCCGGCGAUGCGCCCCAACGGCCAGCAGGGGGCGCGCCAACUCAAGGUAAAGGCUCACCUGGCGCCGCCCUCCAGCGGGACCCCCGGCUGCCGGGGACGCUCUCCAGGACGACAGCAGCUGCUCCGCAGGGAGCGGGGUCUCGACCCAGGGGAGGGGCCCGGGCUCCGGGGUCGCGUGGGACCCGGGGACCCGGCAGGCUCUCCCCUGUCGGGCCUGACCGCGGGGGACUGUGCUCCGCGGGGCCGCGCAGCAGUUGAGCCCGGGCGCCGACCGGGGCGUUUCCUCGGGAUGCUCCGCGGGGGCGGGGAGCCGGCAGCGGAAUGAGACUGAUCCCUUGCAAGUACCUCUUCACAUCCAGCAUGGAGUCUUCAUUGCUCAGGAGAGUCCUUCCAUCUCCAACCCCUGCACUAAGCCAAUUUCUAGGACUUCCCAAUGCUGACAAAGUCCAGCAAAGAAUUUCUUGCAGCCAGUCUCAAUCCAGCCCACCUUUUACACUUGAACAUGUUUAAGAUAUGCUGGAGCAUAUAGUGGAAGACAUCAGCAGUCUGCCUUCUGGAACUUGCUGCCAUCCACUGAAACAACAGAAAACAAUUGGAUACAGUUAACUGUCCAUCAGUCCGGGAUUGGUUAAAUAAUUUAUGACACACCCAUUUAUUGGGAGACAAAACAAAGUUCUCUAUUUACUAACAUGGGAAGAUCUCCAAAUGAAAAAAAGCUAGGGGCAGAAUAGUGAGUACGGGCUCCUAUCUUUUAUGUAAAAGUAGAAAAAGUAUAAUAAAAGAAUAUAAUUAUAGUCUUACUAGUUUGCA